GACGAACGCUGGCGGCGUGCUUAACACAUGCAAGUCGAACGAAGUGGCGCACGGGUGUGUAACGCGUAAUCAACAUGCCCUUCAGAGGGGGACAACAGUUGGAAAAGACUGCUAAUACCGCAUACUGACGGCGGGGAUUGCGUCGGAUUAGCGAGUUGGAGGGGUAACGGCCCACGAAGGCGAUGAUCAGUAGCCGGUCUGAGAGGAUGAACGGCCACAUUGGGACUGAGACACGGCCCAGACUCCUACGGGAGGCAGCAGUGGGGAAUCUUCCGCAAUUGACGAAAGUCUGACGGAGCAACGCGGCGUGAGUGAUGACGGCCUUCGGGUUGUAAAGCUCUGUUAAUCGGGACGCGGUACCGGAAUAGAAAGCCACGGCUAACUACGUGCCAGCCGCCGCGGUAAUAC
RNAcentral lists this ribosomal RNA (408 nucleotides) under uncultured bacterium. Its description in RNAcentral is "partial 16S ribosomal RNA". It matches the Rfam family "Bacterial small subunit ribosomal RNA", at positions 28 to 526 of the family's 1533-position model. The record is from RNAcentral.